GAUUCUUUCCCAGUUAAUUCCCUUGUCAGUCUAACUCCCACACAGUCAUUCUUCUGCGAAAGCGGCACAGACUGGGAGGGACCGCGUGCUGUCAAUCUCCAGACGCAGCCAAUGGAAGAAAGAAAUGUUUCGCUUAAGGAUGAUCAGCCGAGCCAAUAAUGUGCGGCGGUGUGUUCCACGUGACUACAUCUUCUUUCCCCCCCCCACUCCCCCGCCUGUCUUUCACAUGAGUAUUAUAUAGUUCAAUUCAGUGCAUCUGAUAGAAGAAAUAGAGUGCUGGGGUGUCUGACUAAAGUAGUUUUAAGCUGAAUUAUGUUUCUUUGUAUAAUUAAUGGAGCUUCCUGAUUCCAUCCCCUAUUCAGUUUGUACCCAAACCCAAAUGAGGCACUGUACAGCUUGAAGAAAAUUGAUAAGUCUAUUUUGGCAACUGAACUGCCACUCUCAUCUCUGAUUUUGGGUCAGCAGUUAAGUCAAGCAUAAGAGCAACGUGACUAGGACAUCAUUCUCCGUUCCACAUCCAGAAAGCAAAAGACAAAAAUAUCAUGAGACCAGACAGUGGAACAGACUGAAACAAGCAUAAAUUCAGCUGUGAAAAGAAUUCAAAAGGGUGUUUUUUAAAAAGAAAUAUUCCUACACAUCCGUUAAUCUCUACCACUUGGUACGGAAGACUGUUGAAAGUGGACCUUUCUGUGGCCAUGGUUCAUGUUGUCCGAUGACUGGCCAAGUGGAGAACUUGUUCUGUUGACUGGAGUUUGGAAACAUAUUCCCCAUUUGCAGAUUCCAGACUUGUCAACAGGCACUGCAGUGUGUUACUCAAAAUGCAUGCCGUUUGAAAAGGAAUUUCUUUAUUGUACCUGAUUAGACAUCCAUGCAUCUAAGGAGUUAGACUGACCUUACCCUUUUAGAUUCUAUUUUUAUCAAGUGGUGGCUUCAGGGAACAUUCAACGCUGUCGGUUGUUAGUACUAAUGUCCUUUGGGAUGCCCUAAAAUCAUGCCAGGAGCUCGAUAAAUUGAGGUCUGUCUGCUUUUCUUCUUUCGUAAAGUAUUGCCCCUGAGGUAGCUACACUCUUCUGAGAGCUGGAGCCUCAUGUAGAUAUGAAUCCAGUGAUCAUAAUUUCACAAUGCAGAAGAAAACUGAACGUAAUUCAUUGAAUAAAGUUAUGUGCCUUUUACAAAACUGUGGAGUAAAAAUUAUGUUGCGGAUAUUACCAGAAACAUUUAGAGCUAGAUGCAGUUAUGUUGAAAAUUGACAGAGACCGAGUAAGGAUAUAAUCUUUCCCUAUAUAAGCUUUUCCCAAGCUCAUUAAUAUUUCUACUCAUUCUCUGUGAGAACUACCCACAAAGCAUGGACUGAAAGAGAAUAAUAAAUUGUGUAUUGAUUGUCAAUCUUUUAUUAAUCUGUUAUUUUAUUUUUGAAACAGUUUCUUCUUCAAUCAGAACACCUACACAAUUAUAACAAUUAUUGAAUUCAUGUUAGUUUAGUAAAUUUUAAAGAGAUAAUUAGUUGUUUCACACUAGGAGUCACGCCUAACAACUCUGUGAAAUAUUAUUCUGAAUGUGAUGUUUAUUUUCUUCUUUCUCUUGCUUCUAUUUUCUAAGGUCUGGAGGUAUUGCUUCACUCAAUUGGGGUACAUUUUCACAGACAGUGCUCACUGUGUAUUGCCCCACAGAACUGACAAUUAAUAAUCUCUUCACUGCAAGAUCUAGAUCUCCCACUUUGUUCAGUAAGAAUAAUACAUUCAAAAUGACUGACUCACUGUCAGUGAUGCAACUGAAAAAACCUAGGCCUGAUUGGCAGCAAAUGUGGCGAGUUGCAAUACCCACCAUAAUGGACAACUUGUAACCAUUCUAAGGAGUGGUCAUUUUGAGUUUCCACAACCAGCAUAAAGCAGGUCUCCAAUCUAGAAAUGUUCUCAAUAGUGUGGGGAUUCUACACACAUUUUAACUAUUAAUUAACUUCAGAAUUUAUGAAGAAGCAGACUCUGUAACUUUAAGAGCCAAUCCAGCUUCAAAAAAGUCCACUUUAGUCACAGAGUAAUUUAUUACUGGUUACACGAUGUGACAGUCUUCAAUGAGCAAUGCUAUGAGAAGAUCUGUUUGAUUAGCAAGCUACCACGAAACACAUUUUUUAAAAAUAUACUGAUGAAUUGGAAAGGGUGUGAUGUGUAGUUUUUAACAACUGCAAGGCUGCUAGAAUUGUUAUUUCUUCACCAAAGGAUCACACAAUCCUAAUGUCGUCAGCAGCAACUGGUGGCUAAAAAAAAGCUAUUUCUUGGAAAUCAUUUUUUUCCACGUAAUGCACACACUUAUGGGAAAAAGAGAAGCAACUAGAUUCCACAAGCUUCAUAGUGAGAUUCUGAAUGUUUUGUUUCUGCUGGAUAAAUUCUGUUUGUAAGGGCCUGCUUAUAAAGAAAUAUUUCCCUCUGACCAAAAAAAUUUAUCAUGCUCUUACCCCACUGAUCACAAGCAGGUACAUUCUGCCUAUGUUACACUCCAGACCUUUGUAAGAAAAUGCAAUAAAUCAUACAAGGCAGCAAAACAGCUUAGUACAACAGUCACACAUCCAGAAAGUAGUCAUUCUUCAGAACAAAAUAAAUCCUUUUAGUUAUGAUGAUAUUUAAUUGAGCUGUUUAUUUCAUCUAUUGCUGAUCCUACAUGCAUUGUGUUAACAUAGUGGUGUAACACACAACUAUAUAAGAAUUUUGGCAUGAAGAGAUGAUUGUACACAUGUUCACACACACACACACACACAAGUUCUAUUUAAGUAACAUGUUAUUUUGAAAUUGGUCACAUAAAGCAAACACUUAAAUGAACCAGUGCAUAGCAAAUACAGAUUAUGCUAUUUACUGUAAUUUACAUGUACUGGAACCUUAUAGUGUGAAAAUAAAUUGUUAUGAGACUUGAAAGGGUUCAAAAAGAUUUACAAGUAUGUUGCCCGGGUUGGAGGU
Non-coding RNA from Chiloscyllium plagiosum (whitespotted bambooshark), 2948 nucleotides. The record is from RefSeq and is a predicted model, not a curated record. Lineage: Eukaryota; Metazoa; Chordata; Chondrichthyes; Orectolobiformes; Hemiscylliidae.